This 161-nucleotide ribosomal RNA is filed under the name uncultured bacterium. RNAcentral's name for it is "partial 16S ribosomal RNA". It matches the Rfam family "Bacterial small subunit ribosomal RNA", at positions 358 to 511 of the family's 1533-position model. The record is from RNAcentral.
GGAAUCUUCCACAAUGGGCGCAAGCCUGAUGGAGCAACACCGCGUGAGUGAAGAAGGGUUUCGGCUCGUAAAGCUCUGUUGUUAAAGAAGAACACGUAUGAGAGUAACUGUUCAUACGUUGACGGUAUUUAACCAGAAAGCCACGGCUAAAUACGUGCCAG